AGACGACGACGAGAGAAGAGCACGUCUGCUUCGCCCAUCGUCACUGUAGCAGUCGGUUGUUCCCCCUUCGUUUUCUUUUGUAGGGACGACGACCUCCUCCUCCUCCACCCUUUGUAAUCUCGACUUUCGACCACACCUAUGCUUGUGAUUAGCCAACAUGGUCACAUCAAAGCUAAAAAAAGAAGAAAAAAAAGCUAAAAAACGAAACGUGCAUUCAUGUCCCGAUCCUAAUAAAAAAGGCUAAAAAGCUAAUAAAUAGUUUUUCUGCUCCGGAAAUAUGGCAUAAUUGAACAAACACAAGUGUCAUAGCAAUUCAACAGUCAACAAGGAUGGAAUUAUCUCGGGGUAGGUGACUACAUACAAAUCGGAAGCAUGCGGAUGAUAUCAUGCUCACGCUAAUAAGCAACCAAAUAAAAGUAAAGACUUAGUGGUAUGCUAUCCAUAUGCCCUAGUAUGGAGGGUAGUAUGGAGGAGAAUAGUCAAACACAAUCAAACGAUCAAUCCAUUUGACCAAAAAAUGGUGGGUGGGGAAAUGGAAGCUUCUGUUGCUCAAGAAUACCAGAGACAAUCAAGUCAGAUUCAGAUGAGAAAUUCUAAUCCAUGAUCAAAGUUUUGUGCAUAUAUACAUUUAUAUAUUUAUCAUAUCAACAGCAAGCUUUAGCAACAAAACAAAUAUACCCACUCGAAGACACGAGAUCCAACAUGACACAUUCACAAAAAGGACACUCUCCAACUUUCCUGGCUAUGCAAGCAAGCAAAUUCCAGUAAAUUGUUCGGUAAUGCUACAUGUAUUGGUACCGAAAACAUGCCUACUCUCAUAUGACAACUAGAGUCAAUACCAAUUUCUAUAAAAUUUUACCCAAAUAGCCUCAAAUAUCAGUAGAUCACAGUGGCUCUAGUUUUGACCAACCUGUAUAAUGGAACAGAUGAAUACUUGCAUGAUAUCAUGGCUUUCUCAAGGCAGAUGCUGCACCCAUAACUACCGCCAUCACGAGGCCGAGACCAGCUCCAAGUGAUGCACCAACGGCAGCGGCUGUAACGGAACUUUCCUUUGCCUC
RNAcentral lists this long non-coding RNA (1058 nucleotides) under Musa acuminata (dwarf banana). Its description in RNAcentral is "long non-coding RNA (MACU_LNC006082)". Lineage: Eukaryota; Viridiplantae; Streptophyta; Magnoliopsida; Zingiberales; Musaceae. The record is from RNAcentral.